RNAcentral lists this ribosomal RNA (252 nucleotides) under uncultured bacterium. Its description in RNAcentral is "partial 16S ribosomal RNA". It matches the Rfam family "Bacterial small subunit ribosomal RNA", at positions 524 to 776 of the family's 1533-position model. The record is from RNAcentral.
UACGUAGGGGGCAAGCGUUGUCCGGAAUCAUUGGGCGUAAAGAGCGUGUAGGCGGCUCGGUAAGUCCGCUGUGAAAGUCCAGGGCUCAACCCUGGAAUGCCGGUGGAAACUGUCGAGCUAGAGUCCGGAAGAGGCGAGUGGAAUCCUGGUGUAGCGGUGAAAUGCGCAGAUAUCAGGAGGAACACCAAUGGCGAAGGCAGCUCGCUGGGACGGUACUGACGCUGAGGUGCGAAAGCGUGGGGAGCAAACAGG